GGACGGACCGGGAGUACCGGUCAGUGGCGGACGGGUGGGGAACACGUGGCUACCUAUCCAAGCGUGGGGGAUNACCCCUGGGAAACCAGGGCUAAUACCGCAUAGGCUGGCAACAGCAAAGCCUUCGGGCGCGCAUGGAGGGGGCUGCGGCGGAUUAGCUAGUUGGUGGGGUAAGAGCUCACCAAGGCGACGAUCCGUAGCUGGUCUGAGAGGAUGAUCAGCCACACUGGGAUUGAGAACGGCCCAGAUCCCUACGGGGAGCAGCAGUGAGGAAUCUUCGGCAAUGGGCGCAAGCCUGACCGAGCGACGCCGCGUGGAGGACGACGCCUUUCGGGGUGUAAACUCCUUUUCCCCCAGACGAGACAGGACGGUAUGGGGGGAAUAAGCAUCGGCUAACUACGUG
RNAcentral lists this ribosomal RNA (403 nucleotides) under uncultured bacterium. Its description in RNAcentral is "bacterial SSU rRNA". It matches the Rfam family "Bacterial small subunit ribosomal RNA", at positions 64 to 507 of the family's 1533-position model. The record is from RNAcentral.